GCGAGCGAACGCGGAUUAGCCCAAACCAGAUUUGUUACGGCAAAUUUGGGGUUGUAGGACCACAACAUUGAAUGUCAUAUGAAUUAGAACGCUUUGGAAAGAGCGACCAGAGAGGGUGAUAGUCCCGUAUAGGUAAAGAAGACAAACAUAGUGGUAUCCUGAGUAGUGCGGGACACGAGUAAUCCUGUAUGAAACAGUCGGGACCAUCCGAUAAGGCUAAAUACUCUUGAGAGACCGAUAGUGAACUAGUACCGUGAGGGAAAGGUGAAAA
This 271-nucleotide ribosomal RNA is filed under the name Octactis speculum. RNAcentral's name for it is "partial Bacterial large subunit ribosomal RNA". It matches the Rfam family "Bacterial large subunit ribosomal RNA", at positions 249 to 520 of the family's 2925-position model. The record is from RNAcentral. Lineage: Eukaryota; Dictyochophyceae; Dictyochales; Dictyochaceae.